GUGAUUUGUAGGUUUUCCUCGGCGUAAAUCGUCGUUAUCCAUACAAGGAAGAUCGUCAUGGAUCAAGGACAUUGUGUGUAUCAUCUCGACGGCGCAAGCCGCCGGCAUCGCCAUGGAUUCAUUGCCGCCAACGAGCUCACACGCUGCAAUACAAAGAACUGGACGAACACGCUUCCCACCCGCCAUUAAAGAGUACCGCAUCGCUUCGUGAAUCUUCAAUGGUUCUCGAAGAAAAACCGCAGCAUCCAAAGCAUGAUUAACCGAAUUCCCUUUCUGAAUCAUAUACUCCUUGAAAUUGAAAGUAGGUUUUCCUUCUUCCUCCGUCAGAGUCU
This 332-nucleotide unclassified non-coding RNA is filed under the name Hevea brasiliensis (rubber tree). Lineage: Eukaryota; Viridiplantae; Streptophyta; Magnoliopsida; Malpighiales; Euphorbiaceae. The record is from RNAcentral.